RNAcentral lists this transfer RNA (73 nucleotides) under Pteropus alecto (black flying fox). It matches the Rfam family "tRNA". From Rfam's summary of the family: Transfer RNA (tRNA) molecules are approximately 80 nucleotides in length. Their secondary structure includes four short double-helical elements and three loops (D, anti-codon, and T loops). Lineage: Eukaryota; Metazoa; Chordata; Mammalia; Chiroptera; Pteropodidae. The record is from Rfam by way of RNAcentral.
GGUUCCAUAGUGUAGCGGUUAGCACAUCUGAUUUACACACAGAAGGUCCUGGGUUCACUCCCCUGUGGAGCCA